This is a non-coding RNA of Oryzias latipes (Japanese medaka), 2253 nucleotides long. Lineage: Eukaryota; Metazoa; Chordata; Actinopteri; Beloniformes; Adrianichthyidae. The record is from RefSeq and is a predicted model, not a curated record.
UGACAGAAGUGUGUGAAUCAGCGCCAUCCAUCCUGUAACAUGUAAGCCUUCUCCCCUGUGGUUGACUUUAGAGUCCAAGCUAAAGGCAAAAAUGAUACAGUGAGUUCAGCCAACAAAACCUAAAGGGUGUUUCUCAUGCAGAGUCAUUUCACUUAAGAUUCUCUUAUUGUUACACCCAAAAAAUAUUUGAAUAACUAAAAAACAGGACGACGAGCAAACUGCAGCAAGAGAACUCACUAGCGCUCCCUGAACUCUGCGGGUUUAUGUCAGCAAUUCUCCUGUUCCAUAACACUCAAAGCAAUAAAGUCAGAAUGUUGUAAAUGUAAUGAGGUGCAGAAGGGAGAAAGCAAGGGCAAAAGAUAUGGCCAAGAUGGCUCCCAGACAUGUGUCGUCGUACAAACACAAGUGCUUUUUCACAAAUGCAACAAUUCAGACACAAACACUCAAAGCAUGUCACUAACCAAUUCAAGGACGAUUAAUCACACACACAUAACAGAACCUUGGUCAUCAGACAAUAACAAAUGCAGUCCUUUGUAAAAUACAGUACAUCUUAAUGUUCUUCUGACACUUCUCUGCCUGAUGACACUUAUUUUCACAUGAGACCUGGAUGUAACAAGUACUUUUUGUUGGGGACCAUCAGCGGUCUAUGAAUACCUCGGUUUUGGUGGAGAUAGGAUUACUUACUGAUUAUAAGGUCUGAGUAAACAGCCGUAUUUCCCAGUCAAGUAUUAAGAAAGAGCACAACCCAUGGCAUGCAUCAGAGGGACGGACCUCUGUUCUGCAUGCCACACAGGGUAAAGAUAAACUGGCAGGUUUGUCAUCAACAGCGCAAACAACUUUUCCCUCUAAAAGUAACCUGAAGUGCUUCUGUAAUUUCAUAUUUCAUUUGUAGUCUUGAUCCAUGACAGUGAAGAUGAGGAUGAAUGAGGAUGAGGGCUUUCUUUAACUGCUGCAUCUCAGGAGCUGACAUCGUCCAUUCAGACAACACCUCAGUUCAAACUGCACAGGCGGGCGGCAGAACAAUCAAGAAAAAUGAAAUUAAAUGUUAAUUUGUGAACAGAGCAGAGUCGGUCUCCAUAACAACAGAGAGUCGGGCAGACAUCCUGUACAGAGGAAGCACGUACAACUGCUGACACCUCAUGGGAAAUCAAGAGUUAAAGAACUCUACAAUUUUAUUUUAUUCAUCAGUUAUUUCUCUUCUCAAUUUAGCAAUGAGAAACUAUUUCAGUUCAACAAAUCAGAGUGGAAAUAAAAAAAAUCAAGUUUGUGAUUCUAUUUCUUGUGUUUUCAAUUUUUUUUUGAACAGGUGGAAUUGAGGUUAAGACAAUUUGAAUGGCUUGAAUUCAAAAUCAUUCAUGCUGGUAACACAGAGUGAAGGUGCAGUGCUCGGGGUAUUUACAGUCAAAUGUAUUCACCACAAUAAUUCUUUACUAGAAAUGAAGGGAUUUUCUGGCAGGUGAACCUUUACACACAACUGUGUGCACUUCCAAUGACCCACGUUGAAGCGGGACACCAGAGAGCCAGCAGCUGUUAGGGAAAGGUGAAUUUAAAUUCAUCCCAUGACAAGAAAACAGCCACCAGACCAGUAACAGCAAAUGAAAGGUAAAGGUAAAGGUAAAGGUAAAGGUAAAGGUAAAGGUAAAACCUUGCCUCAAGAUCUGUUUCCAUCUCAGUAUGUUAAACAUGUCAGUGCAGGAGUGCCCAGACCUGGCCCCUGAGAUGUAACACCUUGCCUGUUUUCCAGCUCACCGUGCACUUUUUGCUACUGAUUACUUGGAUCAGGUGUGUUUAGUUACCCCGAAUAAGGAGACAGCUGAGUCACCUAUUUAGCAGAAACCAGUGAACAGAGAACUGGAAAACAAGCAGAGUGGAAGACUUCUAGGACCAAGACUGGGCAGCCCUGUGUGAAUGCAUGACUAUGGUGGUGCAGCAACUUCCAGCAGACGACCAUGAAAAGCUGUUCAUCUUCAGCUCAUACUGCAGUAAAACGAUCACCGACAAACACAUCCAUCCACAUCACCAACAUGGACGAGAUGCCGCUCACUUUUGACAUCCUGGUGGUCCCACUGUCAAACGGAGGACACAGUUUUACUAAGACUGGGAGGCGCCGGCUUUCACAGAAGCCGGCAUCAUUCAUGAGGAGCUGCAGGCAACGAGACGGACUCUGUCGAUGACGGAAAGGAGCCUGGCGUGUUUGAUAGAAAUGUAGCCCAGCUGUUCAUUUCAGAUACAGAAGAUGAGGACUUUGAUGGA